This 86-nucleotide transfer RNA is filed under the name Candidatus Omnitrophota bacterium. RNAcentral describes it as "Candidatus Omnitrophica bacterium tRNA-Leu". It matches the Rfam family "tRNA". Rfam says of the family: Transfer RNA (tRNA) molecules are approximately 80 nucleotides in length. The record is from RNAcentral. Lineage: Bacteria; Pseudomonadati; Candidatus Omnitrophota.
GCCGCGGUGGCGGAAUUUGGAAUACGCGUUAGGCUUAGGACCUAAUGUCCGAUAAGGACUUGAGAGUUCGAGUCUCUCCCGCGGCA